RNAcentral lists this ribosomal RNA (279 nucleotides) under uncultured bacterium. Its description in RNAcentral is "partial 16S ribosomal RNA". It matches the Rfam family "Bacterial small subunit ribosomal RNA", at positions 506 to 784 of the family's 1533-position model. The record is from RNAcentral.
UGCCAGCAGCCGCGGUAAUACGAAGGGUGCAAGCGUUGUUCGGAAUUAUUGGGCGUAAAGGGUUCGUAGGCUGGAGUUCAAGUCAAGUGUGAAAACCAUGGGCUUAACCUGUGACGUGCAUUUGAGACUGAAUUUCUUGAGUUUGGGAGAGGGUGUUGGAAUUGCUGGUGUAGGAGUGACAUCCGUAGAGAUCAGCAGGAACACCAGAGGCGAAGGCGAACGCCUGGCCCAUAACUGACGCUGAGGAACGAAAGCGUGGGGAGCAAACAGGAUUAGAUA